This 492-nucleotide ribosomal RNA is filed under the name uncultured bacterium. Its description in RNAcentral is "partial 16S ribosomal RNA". It matches the Rfam family "Bacterial small subunit ribosomal RNA", at positions 29 to 507 of the family's 1533-position model. The record is from RNAcentral.
AGUGAACGCUGGCGGUAGGCCUAACACAUGCAAGUCGAACGGCAGCACAGUAAGAGCUUGCUCUUACGGGUGGCGAGUGGCGGACGGGUGAGGAAUACAUCGGAAUCUACUUUUUCGUGGGGGAUAACGUAGGGAAACUUACGCUAAUACCGCAUACGACCUACGGGUGAAAGCAGGGGAUCUUCGGACCUUGCGCGAUUGAAUGAGCCGAUGUCGGAUUAGCUAGUUGGCGGGGUAAAGGCCCACCAAGGCGACGAUCCGUAGCUGGUCUGAGAGGAUGAUAAGCCAAACUGGAACUGGGACACGGUCAAGACUCCUACGGGAGGCAGAAGUGGGGAAAAUUGGACAAUGGGCGCAAGCCUGAUCAAGCCAUACCGCGUGGGUGAAGAAGGCCUUCGGGUUGUAAAGCCCUUUUGUUGGGAAAGAAAAGAAGAAGGUUAAUACCCGGCUGUUCUGACGGAACCAAAAGAAUAAGAACCGGCUAACUUCGUG